Molecule: transfer RNA, 75 nt
Filed under: Camelus bactrianus (Bactrian camel)
Lineage: Eukaryota; Metazoa; Chordata; Mammalia; Artiodactyla; Camelidae
Also listed under: 2 other names
Rfam family: tRNA
About the family: Transfer RNA (tRNA) molecules are approximately 80 nucleotides in length.
Source: Rfam by way of RNAcentral
GAGGGUGUAGCUCAGCAGUGGUAGAGGGCAUGCUUAGCAGGCACAAGGUCCUGGGUUCAAUCCCCAGUACCUCCA